Molecule: long non-coding RNA, 359 nt
Organism: Carassius auratus (goldfish)
Lineage: Eukaryota; Metazoa; Chordata; Actinopteri; Cypriniformes; Cyprinidae
Exons: 3
Source: RefSeq, a predicted model, not a curated record
CCUAACCUGCUAUCAGUGCAUACCUGAGACCUCUGUUAAAUGCACUGAAACUAAAGUGGAGUGUCCUGUUGGUCAGUGUGGGACUAUGAAAACCACAUCUUAUAUGGGAAACAACACAUUGGCUGACAUGAUCAUGAAGAACUGCUCUCAAACCAAUCAAUGCGUGACUGCAUCCGCAAACUUUGGAAUUACAAAAAUAGUCAUUAACAAUCAGUGCUGCAACACUAACCUGUGCAAUACACAGACUGAACCCGAAUCCCCCAAGAUGAUCCCGAAUGGAAUGCACUGCCACACUUGCAGUGGAGAAGAUUGUGCUUCAGCUUUACCUUGUGUAGAUGCGCAAGAUCACUGUAUCAAGG